CAAUUGGAUAUGGAUGUGGAUUUGUGAUUGGAAUAGGCCUUGGUUAUUUUGUGUUUUUGAUUGGAAAGCCAAGAUGGCUUGUGAUGAUAUUUGGCGGUCAGCCUAAGAGAAGAGUGAACAGGAGGAGGACAAGGGUGAGGAGGACCAAUGGUUUAACCAUGAAUCAGAUGGUGCAAAUGUCAUAGUUUUAUUUUUGUGGUUAUUUUCUCUAUUGUGUGUUAGUUUUAACUUUCUGUUUAAAAUAAGCUCGAUGUGACUGUGACAAUCUUGUCACUCUUAUUUUAUCUAGCUAGUUUGAUUUGGAAUUGUAAGUUUGUACUCUUGAGUUAGUGCUGCUUUAUAUGUGCCUGUCGCAACAUGUGUUAUUUAAUAAAAUUCCGAGUUUAUAU
Molecule: long non-coding RNA, 389 nt
Filed under: Trifolium pratense (red clover)
Lineage: Eukaryota; Viridiplantae; Streptophyta; Magnoliopsida; Fabales; Fabaceae
Description: long non-coding RNA (TPRA_LNC001854)
Source: RNAcentral